Molecule: ribosomal RNA, 413 nt
Filed under: uncultured Gammaproteobacteria bacterium
Lineage: Bacteria; Pseudomonadati; Pseudomonadota; Gammaproteobacteria
Description: bacterial SSU rRNA
Rfam family: Bacterial small subunit ribosomal RNA
Source: RNAcentral
GAGUUUGAUCGUGGCUCAGAGUGAACGCUGGCGGCAGGCCUAACACAUGCAAGUCGAACGGCAGCACAGUCCCGCAAGGGAUGGGUGGCGAGUGGCGGACGGGUGAGGAAUACAUCGGAAUCUACCUUGUCGUGGGGGAUAACGUAGGGAAACUUACGCUAAUACCGCAUACGACCUACGGGUGAAAGCGGCGGACCGCAAGGCGUCGCGCGAUUGGAUGAGCCGAUGUCCGAUUAGCUAGUUGGCGGGGUAAAGGCCCACCAAGGCGACGAUCGGUAGCUGGUCUGAGAGGAUGAUCAACCACACUGGAACUGAGACACGGUCCAGACUCCUACGGGAGGCAGCAGUGGGGAAUAUUGGACAAUGGGCGCAAGCCUGAUCCAGCCAUGCCGCGUGUGUGAAGAAGGCCUCGG